RNAcentral lists this ribosomal RNA (348 nucleotides) under Oniscidea sp. JXAUM-L14135. Its description in RNAcentral is "partial 12S ribosomal RNA". Lineage: Eukaryota; Metazoa; Arthropoda; Malacostraca; Isopoda. The record is from RNAcentral.
CCGCGAUAUGUGCUCGCCAGCGCGCGCGAGUCUGCCGCCGCAUUAAGCCCCAUUACUAUCAAAUCCUCUUUUGGCCGAAAAAGCCCCAACGACCUCUACUUGUGUUUUAACUGUAACCUAUCGACCCCCGAAAACACCACACCAGAUCUAACAUAUUUGUCCGCCCUUAAAACACACCUCGAUAGAGUUUGUUUAGAUGACGGUAUAUGAGCACACUCGGGUGAGAUAGAGCGCGUAGUUACGAUUGUGCGACGGGUUCCUCUGACCCGAUCAGACGCCGCCAAACCCUAUGGGUUUAAAGGAGAUAACUACUACUACCCUAGUAACGUCGGUCUCGAAAUAAUAGGG